AACAAGGCUAUAAAGAAUAAUCCAAGAAAACGUUAGGCAUAAAACAAGGUUCCAUCAACACAUGACAAAGUCAUACACCAAGGCUGCAAGAUAAUCCGGGAAAGCAAGAGCUGGCUUCUUGACUCAAAUGAGAAGUUGCUUUGACAAAGGUUCCUCUCUCAGCACACUCUUUUAAUACCCUUUGCACAGCAUGAAUGCAUUUCUUUGGCCUCUGACCUCCCUCUUGUUUGCUAUAACACUCCUGCGAAUCUUGAAUUCCAAACGGCCAGCUCGAUCCAAAGAUUCUGUUUCAUCAAGGCCAGACAGCUUGUUAGCAUUAGACUCUGUCUGCAUGCUAUCAGACUGGGAGCUGUCCUCCCUUUGCACCUGGCUAGCUUCAGUAUCAUCUUCAGAAUCAUCAACACCCUUCCCUGCCGUGGGAAAGCCUCCCUGCUCCUCAUCCGCCACAGCAGGAACACUCUGAACCUGAAUCCCAUAAUUCCCAUCAGAGUCAUUUUGAACCUGAAUCUCAUCAUCUUGGACCUGAAUCCCAUAAUCCCCAUCAGAGUCAUCUUGAACCUGAAUCUCAUCAUCUUGAACCUGAAUCUCAUCAUCUUGAACCUGAAUCCCAUCAUCUUGAACCUGAAUCUCAUCAUCUUGAACCUGAAUCUCAUCAUCUUGAACCUGAAUCCCAUAAUUCCCAUCAGAGUCAUCUUGAACCUGAAUCUCAUCAUCUUGGACCUGAAUCCCAUAAUCCCCAUCAGAGUCAUCUUGAACCUGAAGCUCAUCAUCUUAGACCUGAAUCCCAUAAUUCCCAUCAGAGUCAUUUUGAACCUGAAUCUCAUCAUCUUGGACCUGAAUCCCAUAAUUCCCAUCAGAGUCAUCUUGAACCUGAAUCUCAUCAUCUUGGACCUGAAUCCCAUAAUCCCCAUCAGAGUCAUCUUGAACCUGAAUCUCAUCAUCUUGGACCUGAAUCCCAUAAUCCCCAUCAGAGUCACUGUGAGGUUCUAGCUGAGUCACAACACCAGUCCAAAAUUCAAGUUUCUAACUUGACCAUUUUGUCCAUUGUUGGCACUCAACGAAACCUCAGAGAGGUCUUAUUUCAUGGACAAGAAGCAAAAGGCUAUUCCUACGGACAGUGAACUUCUGUAAGCACACCAUGUAGGGUUUUUUCAACAUCAUCACGGGUCAAAGGUUGUACACAGUGGACCACACCGGAGGUCAGAGAAACAAUGCCUUUCUUAUCUUUUCAGAGCUUGAUAGAUCCAGACUGUAGAAUGAUGUGCGGCGUUGACAAGAGAAGAACACCAGAAGGUCAUGUCACAACUGUUGGUUUUUUUUUUACUCCAAUUUUCCACACUGACCUUUUAAUUUCCUAUCUCUGUUCCACCAUGCUUAAAAAAACUCACAACAAUCUGUACUGGUCAGUCACUGUUAGAAAUAGCACAACAUGGUAGAGAGGCUUUUGGUCUAAGAUAGCAAGACUUUGUCUGGUUUCAUUUUGCAGCUUGUGGAUUUCUUCCCACCCCAAAUAUUGCCCAUAUUUAAUGGAUUCUUUCUUCAUUCAUUUCCUAUCUGGGUGAGUCCAGGACCAGCCUUUAAUUUUUAAUCCUUCAUCUCAGCAUACAUUUCUUAUGUUGUUCCUAGGGAACCAAUUACAUUCUCCCUAACAUCUCUCUCGCUCCUAUUUUUCAUCAUUAUGAGCCGAAAUAGGCUGAAAUAUAGAUGGCAGAAGGGCUGCGGUUUUUCUUUGGUUACUCACAUCUCAGAAGUCGGGGACUGAAAUAUUGGAUCCCUUCUGGACUUGGGUCUCUCUCUUUGUGACCUUACAGUGACCCCUUCAGUCCAUGUCUAUCACAAAGCUUCAAAUGCUUUGAACAGUCUGAAACAUACAUUACUAGCUUGCGGACCCAGCGGUGCCCGGGUUAUUUGGAAAAGUCAUUAUUUGUCUUUGAAUGUUGCAGUAUGUAUUCUCAGUUUGGAGUGGGUGAACUACAAUUCCCAGAAUUGUGGGUCAAUCCUUCCCAAACCCAGCCUCACAACCUCUGAGGGUACCUGCCACAGAUGUGGGUGAAACGUCAGGAGAGAAUGCUUCUGGAACAUGGCCAUACAGCCUGAGAAACAUAUAACAAUCCUUCUCUCCUAUUCCAUAGCAAGUUCUGGUCUACUGGGUUGUUCUAAGAGACAUUUGACCAUGCUGAUUGUUUUAGAAGAAAAAAAACUUUCCCAAAAU
This is a long non-coding RNA of Anolis carolinensis (green anole), 2212 nucleotides long. NCBI's taxonomy places the organism in Eukaryota, Metazoa, Chordata, Lepidosauria, Squamata, Anolidae. The record is from Ensembl.